Molecule: ribosomal RNA, 767 nt
Filed under: Ufens beneficus
Lineage: Eukaryota; Metazoa; Arthropoda; Insecta; Hymenoptera; Trichogrammatidae
Description: SSU rRNA
Rfam family: Eukaryotic small subunit ribosomal RNA
Source: RNAcentral
UAACGAUACGGGACUCAUCCGAGGCCCCGUAAUCGGAAUGAGUACACUUUAAAUCCUUUAACGAGGACCCAUUGGAGGGCAAGUCUGGUGCCAGCAGCCGCGGUAAUUCCAGCUCCAAUAGCGUAUAUUAAAGUUGUUGCGGUUAAAAAGCUCGUAGUUGAAUCUGUGUGCCACGCUGUCGGUUCAUCGCUCGCGGUGUUUGACUGACAUGAUUGUGGGACGUCCUACCGGUGGGCUUAGCUCUUCGGGGCGGUCCAGCUAAUAUCCCAUCGCGGUGCUCUUCACCGAGUGUCGAGAUGGGCCGGUACGUUUACUUUGAACAAAUUAGAGUGCUCAAAGCAGGCUAUGUUCGCCUGAAUAUAUGUGCAUGGAAUAAUGGAAUAGGACCUCGGUUCUAUUUUGUUGGUUUUCGGAACCCCGAGGUAAUGAUUAAUAGGGACAGAUGGGGGCAUUCGUAUUGCGACGUUAGAGGUGAAAUUCUUGGAUCGUCGCAAGACGGACAGAAGCGAAAGCAUUUGCCAAAAAUGUUUUCAUUAAUCAAGAACGAAAGUUAGAGGUUCGAAGGCGAUCAGAUACCGCCCUAGUUCUAACCAUAAACGAUGCCAGCUAGCGAUCCGCCGAAGUUCCUCCGAUGACUCGGCGGGCAGCUUCCGGGAAACCAAAGCUUUUGGGUUCCGGGGGAAGUAUGGUUGCAAAGCUGAAACUUAAAGGAAUUGACGGAAGGGCACCACCAGGAGUGGAGCCUGCGGCUUAAUUUGACUCAACAC